GACGAACGCUGGCGGCGUGCUUAACACAUGCAAGUCGAACGGAAAGGCCCUGCUUGCCGGGUACUCGAGUGGCGAACGGGUGAGUAACACGUGGGUGAUCUGCCCUGCACUUCGGGAUAAGCCUGGGAAACUGGGUCUAUUACCGGAUAGGAGCCAUUUUUAGUGUGAUGGUUGGAAAGAUUUUUCGGUGUAGGAUGAGCUCGCGGCCUAUCAGCUUGUUGGUGGGGUAAUGGCCUACCAAGGCGGCGACGGGUAGCCGGCCUGAGAGGGUGGACGGCCACACUGGGACUGAGAUGCGGCCCAGACGCCGACGGGAGGCAGAAGUGGGGAAUAUUGAACCAGGGGCGCCAGCCGGAUGCAGCGACGCCGCGUGGGGGAUGACGGCCUUAGGGUUGAAAACUCGUUUCGCUAGGGACGAAGCUUUUUGUGACGGUACCUAGAUAAGAAGCACCGGCUAACUACGUG
This 465-nucleotide ribosomal RNA is filed under the name uncultured bacterium. Its description in RNAcentral is "partial 16S ribosomal RNA". It matches the Rfam family "Bacterial small subunit ribosomal RNA", at positions 28 to 507 of the family's 1533-position model. The record is from RNAcentral.